AAGAAAAGAGUCUGUCAAAUUAGUCAAAGGAGACUGCCUGCUACCACACAAGGGCUUUAUAAAUGUUCAACAUUUUUUGAAAGACCAUUGAGGACAGAUGAGGCAAGUCAUCCUUGGCUACCAAACUAGCACUCUUUUCU
RNAcentral lists this microRNA precursor (140 nucleotides) under Citrus sinensis (sweet orange). The record is from RNAcentral. Lineage: Eukaryota; Viridiplantae; Streptophyta; Magnoliopsida; Sapindales; Rutaceae.